UUUUGUACAGCCUGGGGUAGCAGCUCAGACUAAACUCGGCUUUCUCAACACAAGGACACCAAUGGCUCAAGAGACUUGAGAACACUUUCUCUGAGACCAUUGGUUUCAGAUGCCUGGGAACCGCGUCUCUGGUCACUGUGAUGAGGCAAAUGCUAUCAGGCCAUGGCAUGCAGUAGCAAAAUGCUAUCAUCUGGAGAUACUGUAAUCAAGUGGAUACUUUGACCAAGUUACAGAGAGCCAGCUUUGGGAUGCCACAAGGGCUCAGGAGUUACAGAUGGUUGAGCUGCCUGGCGUCAGUGAUGGGAACCGAACCCAGGUUCUCUGGAAGGACAGCAACUGCUAUUAACCAAGCUGAGGACUGAACCCAGGACCUUCCCUCGCUAAGGAUCUCCACUUCUAACCUGGAUCUUGAGGUGGGAAGACACACGCCUUUAAUCUGGGCCACAUCUUCUGCCAGAAGCCUCACAGGACGUGGAAGAAGGAAGCUUUGCUUUCUGCCUGCUUGCCCUCCUUGCCAGCACAUCCAUUCCUUCACUGGCAGUAGAGUCUACGUUCUUGGGAUUCCAGCACAUACUGAAGACCAGCAGAGGCAUCCAGCCUCGUGGACUGAGCAACUACUGGAUUCUUGGACUUUGUGUUCAUAGGCAGCCAUUGUUGGACU
Molecule: long non-coding RNA, 661 nt
Organism: Peromyscus californicus insignis
Lineage: Eukaryota; Metazoa; Chordata; Mammalia; Rodentia; Cricetidae
Exons: 5
Source: RefSeq, a predicted model, not a curated record